UUUGUUUUAGUGCAAGUAAAGUGAUGAAAUUUAAAUUUUACUAUUUUCGUUAUUUAUUUUAGUAAAAGUGAAAAAUAUAAUAUAACUUAAGUUACGUUAGAGCUUCACUUCACUUACUCUCGACUUUCUUCUCUAAAAUGCUGAACUCGACUUCCAUUACAAUCAACCUCUUCUAAAAAAUUAAUUAAACAGUAAAACAUAAACUCUACUUUCUUUAUAAUGGAUUAGAAUUACUUUAUUUAUAAUAAAUUAGGAUUAUCUUUAAAUAAUAAUAAAAAAUUUAAUUAUAUAAUAGGUUAAAUUUUAUAGUGGUAAAUUUACUAUUAUAUUUAGCAGAUAAUAGGAUCCACUUACAUCAAAAUAAAUAACGGAACUCAAAAGACUAAUUUUACCAGCACCAAGUUACAUCAAAACAAACAGAAGAAGUAAUUAAAUUUAACUUUCAGACUGUACGAAUUACGUCAAAAUAAAUAAUAAAAAAAUAAUUACACUUCAGAAAAAUUUAAAUACUACUACACUUGACUUACGUUGAAUAUAGGGAUUCGUCAAUCCAAACGCCCCUAAUACUU
RNAcentral lists this long non-coding RNA (569 nucleotides) under Ananas comosus (pineapple). RNAcentral's name for it is "long non-coding RNA (ACOM_LNC004605)". Lineage: Eukaryota; Viridiplantae; Streptophyta; Magnoliopsida; Poales; Bromeliaceae. The record is from RNAcentral.